UAUACCGAUACAACCACCACCUUGUACCGGUACAACAGCUCCAGAUUGCUGUUUGACUUCGAUUCGGCUCAACUUCGCGCCGGUUGACGCCAAAACCAUUCUAACACUUCUUUAACUCAUUUUUCCCCCUUCCCAACUCGUUGGAAUGCGAGAGGAACUUGUUCAUCGCUUUUCUUCGACGCUUUAAGCAAUUUGGUCAAAGUUCGAAUAUCGGUUUCGGGUUUCGAUACGUUACAAUUAUCGUGUUCAAUUUAUUUCAGCAUCUCUACCCUUGCUCGCCUGGCACUUACGUAGGGCCUGCAUGACGAGGAUAGAGGCAAAAUUAUAAUUAAAAAUUUGAUGGGUUAUUUAUGAAAGUAAUUUUUUUAUGAGGAGGCCAAAUGCAAAAAAGGUCCUAUAAAUUGAUAAGAUUAGUAGACUAAUAUUAGUCCUUGGAAGAUAUAUAGGAUUUCAUGAUAACAACCAAAACUGAUUGUAGGCUAGUACUGCUCUUCUGUAAAAACGUAUUCACUGAUGGAGUGAUGAUAGUGGUAUCAAUUUCUCUCUUUUAGGGCACUGCAUGUUUGUAGGGCUGGCAAAUGAGCGAGCCUGAUAGUGGUAUCAAUUUCUCUCUUUUAGGGCACUGCGAGUGUGCAGGGAUGGCAAAUAAGUGAGCUAGCUUGUGUUUGGCUCACAUUCGGCUCUAUAUUCGACUAAUUCGAGCGCGACUCAAAAUUAAAUGAGCCGAGCUUGAACAAAAAAAAAAAACUAAAGAUUUAUUUCAAGCCGAGUUUUGAGAAUUACUAGGCUCGCUCAAAUUAGACUCGAAAAGCUUAAUAUAUAUAAAUAUAUAUAUAGAGUAGGGCUACUAUACUCUUAUGAGUAUAGAACCCUUACUACUCAUAAGUUGUUUUCGAUGUUGGAGUUUUCGAAUCGACGAUCCACACCGUUAAACAUGAUCUAUAGUAUUUGAAACUUCUAGAAAAUAAAUUUCAUAAAUUUUCGAAAUUAUUAUAAAGUCCAUCAAGCGAGUAUAAAAUGAAUGAUUAAAAUCGAAUGACAUCCUAAAAAUGGAUGAUUGGAUCCUUCAAUUUAAGAUCGGAGUUAUUGAUCUUUAUUUAGAUAGUGAAUAGAAUUUUCUAUCAAAAAUUCAACCUAUUUCGAUUCUUUUUCACCGUUAAACUAGUAAAUAUCUCAUACCGACCGUUAAAAAUUGUCAAUUUUGUGAACUUUUGAUCGUAAGGUAAAUGAUGUCGAAAAAUUAUGAAAUUUGAUUCUAGAUGUUUCAAAUGCUCUAAAUAACGUUUAACGGUGUAGAUCGUCGAUUCGAAAGCUCUAUCAUCAAAAACAACUUAUGAGUACGAGGGCGAUCGUACUCAUAAUAGUAUAGUAGCCGGACUCUAUAUAUAUAUAUAUAUAUAUA
This 1402-nucleotide long non-coding RNA is filed under the name Ananas comosus (pineapple). RNAcentral's name for it is "long non-coding RNA (ACOM_LNC019662)". The record is from RNAcentral. Lineage: Eukaryota; Viridiplantae; Streptophyta; Magnoliopsida; Poales; Bromeliaceae.